Molecule: ribosomal RNA, 484 nt
Filed under: marine sediment bacterium ISA-6336
Lineage: Bacteria
Description: bacterial SSU rRNA
Rfam family: Bacterial small subunit ribosomal RNA
Source: RNAcentral
UGGCGGCAGGCCUAACACAUGCAAGUCGAGCGGAAACGAGUUAUCUGAACCUUCGGGGAACGAUAACGGCGUCGAGCGGCGGACGGGUGAGUAAUGCCUAGGAAAUUGCCCUGAUGUGGGGGAUAACCAUUGGAAACGAUGGCUAAUACCGCAUGAUGCCUACGGGCCAAAGAGGGGGACCUUCGGGCCUCUCGCGUCAGGAUAUGCCUAGGUGGGAUUAGCUAGUUGGUGAGGUAAGGGCUCACCAAGGCGACGAUCCCUAGCUGGUCUGAGAGGAUGAUCAGCCACACUGGAACUGAGACACGGUCCAGACUCCUACGGGAGGCAGCAGUGGGGAAUAUUGCACAAUGGGCGCAAGCCUGAUGCAGCCAUGCCGCGUGUGUGAAGAAGGCCUUCGGGUUGUAAAGCACUUUCAGUCGUGAGGAAGGUGGUGUCGUUAAUAGCUGCAUUAUUUGACGUUAGCGACAGAAGAAGCACCGGCUAA